This is a non-coding RNA of Pelobates cultripes (western spadefoot toad), 204 nucleotides long. The record is from the annotation of a GenBank genome assembly. Lineage: Eukaryota; Metazoa; Chordata; Amphibia; Anura; Pelobatidae.
CCAUGACCACUUCAAAUCACUGACUGUGGUCAUUGUGCUUGGAGUAACCCUUGAAGAGCUUUUUUUGUCCACUUCGGCUUUAUUUCCAGGAAACACGCACCUGACAUUGCUAUUUUCUAUUUUGUUAAUUAAUCAAUAGGGAGAAAGAUUUAAAGUAAAAUAUGUGCCAGAUUUCAUUCCUCCUGUUCUUCUAGCAGGGCUAGG